UGACGAUGGUGUUCACGAAAGCAACUUUUAUUUGAUUACUGCAGCAAUGGAUUUUGUGUAGUAGUGGAUUCAGGCAGUAUGAAGGAAGCUCUGAUCCAUGUUUAGCAGGGGCCUGUAGCUCAGUUGGUUAGAGCGCACGCCUGAUAAGCGUGAGGUCAGUGGUUCAAAUCCACUCUGCCCCACUACGGUUUAGGUAGAUUAUUAUACUUGAAUUGUAUUGGGGCUUUAGCUCAGUUGGUAGAGCAUCUGCUUUGCAAGCAGAGGGUCAACGGUUCGAGUCCGUUAAGCUCCACGAUGCGUCAGUAGUUCCGACAAGCAUCACUGUUAUUUGACAAAUUGAAGCAAUAAGCAUAUUGAAGAAGUAAGUUCUUGGUGAACUUAUAAACUUUCCUGUUAAUGUGAAGUAGAAUACUCAUC
RNAcentral lists this transfer RNA (417 nucleotides) under Chlorobium phaeobacteroides. Its description in RNAcentral is "partial contains 16S ribosomal RNA and 16S-23S ribosomal RNA intergenic spacer". The stretch from base 220 to 292 matches the Rfam family "tRNA". Lineage: Bacteria; Pseudomonadati; Chlorobiota; Chlorobiia; Chlorobiales; Chlorobiaceae. The record is from RNAcentral.